RNAcentral lists this ribosomal RNA (337 nucleotides) under uncultured bacterium. RNAcentral's name for it is "bacterial SSU rRNA". It matches the Rfam family "Bacterial small subunit ribosomal RNA", at positions 173 to 507 of the family's 1533-position model. The record is from RNAcentral.
AUAAUGCAGCGGAUCCGCAUGGAUACGUUGUUAAAGUUUACCGCCUUGGGAUAGGCUUGCGUCUGAUUAGCUAGUUGGUGUGGUAACGGCAACACCAAGGCUAACGAUCAGUAACUGGUCUGAGAGGAUGAUCAGUCACACUGGAACUGAGACACGGUCCAGACUCCUACGGGAGGCAGCAGUGAGGAAUAUUGGGCAAUGCUCGAAAGAGUGACCCAGCAACGCCGCGUGGAGGAUGAAGGUAUUCUAUAUCGUAAACUCCUGUGAGAGCAGACGAAAGACAGAUUAUUAAAUCUGGAUGACUGUAUGCUCAGAGGAAGCCCCGGCUAACUACGUG